AGGAUAAACGCUGGCGGCGUGCAUGAGACAUGCAAGUCGAACGGACGAUCAGGGCUUGCUCUGAUCGUUAGUGGCGGACGGCUGAGUAACGCGUAGGUGACCUGCCCCGAAGUGGGGAAUAACUGCCCGAAAGGGUGGCUAAUACCGCAUGUGGUGGUGCCUUCACUGGCAUCAGUAAAGCCGCAAGGCGCUUCGGGAGGGGCCUGCGUCCGAUUAGCUCGUUGGUGGGGUAACGGCUCACCAAGGCGACGAUCGGUA
This 258-nucleotide ribosomal RNA is filed under the name uncultured bacterium. Its description in RNAcentral is "partial small subunit ribosomal RNA". It matches the Rfam family "Bacterial small subunit ribosomal RNA", at positions 26 to 285 of the family's 1533-position model. The record is from RNAcentral.